RNAcentral lists this long non-coding RNA (681 nucleotides) under Setaria viridis. RNAcentral's name for it is "long non-coding RNA (SVIR_LNC004108)". Lineage: Eukaryota; Viridiplantae; Streptophyta; Magnoliopsida; Poales; Poaceae. The record is from RNAcentral.
ACAUCUCUGCUAAGAUGUUGCGUCCCAACAAAGACUCUCCCCAUGAGGAAAAGAGUAUGACUUCGCUUAAUGUUUUGUUACAUAAAUUGCAGAAUGUAAAUUACGAAAACUGAAAAGAAGAAAGAAACUAGAAAUAACUCUAACUCAUCUCUUCGGCUCUUUCAAACCCAAUACUAAUAUAACAUAUCUUUGUUCCAAGAAUACGACACCUCUUCUCCUUCCAAUGUUUGAAGCCUGUAAGCCCUGGCGUCUCCACAACCAGGAAUGGUCCAUCCCACUUCGAUUGUAACUUUCCCACUGCUUUAGCUUUCCUUAGCAGCACCAUGUCCCCUGUAGUGAUUUCUCUUGGAUGUACUUUUUCAUUCCUCCACCUUCUCGUCUCAUCUUAGUAGACGGACUGGUUAUGCAGUGCUUGCACUCUUUCCCCUUCUCUUGGGUCUACUGCAACAUCCAUCUCUUCGCCAACCGGCGGCUGCUCUGUGCGAAGUGAACCCAGCUUUAUCACCUCUGGUACCAUUGCGUCUUCUCCAUAGAGCAUCCUGAAAGGAGAGAACUUCGUUGCUCUUGACUCUAUUGUAUUAUGUGACCAAAUUACUCUUGGUAGCUCUUCGGCCCACUUUCCCCUGGCAUGUCAGUUAUGCUCUUCUUGAUUAUGGUGAAGAUUACGCCAUUGGCUCUUUC